This is a long non-coding RNA of Gambusia affinis (western mosquitofish), 1269 nucleotides long. RefSeq lists it as uncharacterized. The transcript has 3 exons. The record is from RefSeq and is a predicted model, not a curated record. NCBI's taxonomy places the organism in Eukaryota, Metazoa, Chordata, Actinopteri, Cyprinodontiformes, Poeciliidae.
UAUUUUUGUAAUUCAAAUUUGCACAAUUAUGUGAAAAAUGGAAUCGCAGAUAGUGAGACUUUACUUUUUUGUGGACAUAUAUCCUUUUAAAUCAUGGUUCUCAUGUGACGUCACUCUUCUGGGGACUUUGUAGUUUACAGCCGUCUUGGAAGGUAUCUGUAACUGUCAUGAGAGUUGCUAUAGAGUUGCUAUGACCACAAUUAACAAGCCUCACAUUCUCUAUCUCUUACAGCUUGAUCCUGACAGCAGUGAUUUUGUUGAGAUAAUUUUCUCUUGCACAUUGGGUCAAGAGUGUCAAUAUCCUGCGCUUGCCUACCAAAAUGGCGGUUCAGUGGUCACUUCUGGAACUACAGUCUCUUUCCGAGUAAACGGACCGACUAAAGAGAAUCAAUAAAGAGCCAUUAGCUAGGCAAACAGCGCCUGCUCAGAGCUGCGCUGCAGCAGCUGCUCUCCUCUUCCCACAGUAAACAAGGCUGUGUGGGAAUCUCCAAAGACAGAAAGAGCCAAUCCCAGGCCAGCUGAUUUAUCUGCAGUAUGAAGCCUGCAGUGCAAUGAUAAGAUAGAGGAGAUGCAAGACGCUCAGUGCUCAGCAGACUCCAUAAAUCUCUGGAAGAUUAGAGACUGAAACUGUUCACGCAUCAACAGAAAGCGUGUAGCACAGAAUCAGAACUUGAUUUAAUGAUUUAAACAUCUGCUGGAUCAGCUCGAAGCAAAACGUUCAUAAAAACAGCCUCGUGUUUCCCAUCAUCGAAGCGCUGAGGCGGCACGUGACACAAUGCAGCACUGGACAUCAGAUGCUCUGCUCACCCUGCCCUCUGCCUCUAUUGAUUCCCUCAUAAAGCACAGCACUGCUACAUUAGAGCCGGACCAGUAACAACGUUAUACAGGUCCCACUGGACGGCAUCAGAACUGCUCUAGUUGUCUCCCUUCCUCCACAGGUUUGGAGGAAGAGCCAACACCCUGAAGCCCGACUCACUUUGUAACAAACAUGGGAAGAUUCUUGUGUUGUUCUGCAUCUUACCUGAUUUGUCCCACUUUAUCCACAGUACUGUCUGAAAAGUAUGCGUCUUCUAAGAGGUAUCCUCCAUUUUAUGCAGCUUAAAGUCACAUGUCAAUUGUUUUUAAAUCCAGACAUUCAAAAAUCGUAAUUUUUUAGCAAUUCAGAGGCGAGUCAUUGUACCUCUGUAUGACUUAAGUCAGGGUAACCCAAAGUGGGUCCUCGAGGGCCGGCAUCGUGCAUGUUUUAGUUCUCUCCCUGGUUUAACGCAC